Molecule: long non-coding RNA, 403 nt
Organism: Trichomycterus rosablanca
Lineage: Eukaryota; Metazoa; Chordata; Actinopteri; Siluriformes; Trichomycteridae
Exons: 3
Source: RefSeq, a predicted model, not a curated record
GAAUUCAGUUCCCCCUGUUUCCCCUUUAACGCGCAUGUGCAAAAAUCAUGACGUUUUUUUCAGUCGCUUCGUUGAGCGUCGGUUUAUUUGGAAUAUGUGUUUAUAGCGCCUGUGAUGGAUGUGACAGAUGGUACCACCAGUCAUGUGUUGGCAACCCACCAGUAGAGGAAGACCUUCAUUGUCCGGCAUGUACUGAAGAUUAGACCAAGUAACUGCUUUAUCCUGGUCAUGGCCGUGGAGGAUCCAGAACUGUUCCUGGGGAAACUGGACGUAUGGCAGGAGUGCACCAUGGAUGUGAUGCUAGUCAAUCCCAGGGCACCAUCCCAGAUUUUAUUUUAUUUCGUUUAAAAAUAUAUAUAUUUCUAUUAAGCUAUAAAUAUGUAUUUAAGUUUUAAUUUGCAUU